RNAcentral lists this ribosomal RNA (749 nucleotides) under uncultured bacterium. Its description in RNAcentral is "bacterial SSU rRNA". It matches the Rfam family "Bacterial small subunit ribosomal RNA", at positions 51 to 813 of the family's 1533-position model. The record is from RNAcentral.
ACACAUGCAAGUCGAACGAGCGAGAGAAAGCUUGCUUUCUUGAGCGAGUGGCGAACGGGUGAGUAACGCGUGAGGAACCUGCCUCAAAGAGGGGGACAGCAGUUGGAAACGACUGCUAAUACCGCAUAAGCCCACGGGUCGGCAUCGACCAGAGGGAAAAGGAGCAAUCCGCUUUGAGAUGGCCUCGCGUCCGAUUAGCUAGUUGGUGAGGUAACGGCCCACCAAGGCAACGAUCGGUAGCCGGACUGAGAGGUUGAACGGCCACAUUGGGACUGAGACACGGCCCAGACUCCUACGGGAGGCAGCAGUGGGGAAUAUUGCACAAUGGGGGAAACCCUGAUGCAGCGACGCCGCGUGGAGGAAGAAGGUCUUCGGAUUGUAAACUCCUGUUGUUGAGGAAGAUAAUGACGGUACUCAACAAGGAAGUGACGGCUAACUACGUGCCAGCAGCCGCGGUAAAACGUAGGUCACAAGCGUUGUCCGGAAUUACUGGGUGUAAAGGGAGCGCAGGCGGGAAGACAAGUUGGAAGUGAAAUCUAUGGGCUCAACCCAUAAACUGCUUUCAAAACUGUUUUUCUUGAGUAGUGCAGAGGUAGGCGGAAUUCCCGGUGUAGCGGUGGAGUGCGUAGAUAUCGGGAGGAACACCAGUGGCGAAGGCGGCCUACUGGGCACCAACUGACGCUGAGGCUCGAAAGUGUGGGUAGCAAACAGGAUUAGAUACCCUGGUAGUCCACACCGUAAACGAUGAU